Dermacentor albipictus is the source of this 539-nucleotide long non-coding RNA. RefSeq lists it as uncharacterized. NCBI's taxonomy places the organism in Eukaryota, Metazoa, Arthropoda, Arachnida, Ixodida, Ixodidae. The record is from RefSeq and is a predicted model, not a curated record.
CCAGUUUGCCAACUUUAUUCGCGUGUAUGCAUGCAGUGGGCGCACCGAGUUGAGACGACGAUGCUGACGCUUCGUUUCCCUUCAGUACAAACACCAAAGAAAAAAACAAAAAACUACGCAUGUCAGCCGUAAUACUUCCGCCAACAAUUUUUUGUUUCCCGUUUGUUUGGCAUACAGCUACAGCGCAGACACAAGUUCGCGAUGCUUCGUGCGCGCAAGAAGAGACAACGUCUAAGAAUGACGGUGUCGUGCUGACUGCAACCAUGCUGACCGACAAGUACGGUGCGCCUAGGAAAUGUAUUCUACCUUGUACGAGUAAAGCAAAGUUCCACUAGCAGUGACGCGGCUGGCUGUGCAGAAGCGAGACAGCGAGAAGAGGAUGGGGUUGUCAAUUCGGGCGAGAUUACUUAGGUCAACAUAAUGGCAAGUCCAGGAUGGCCAGCAUCGGCACACCACCUCUUUUCUGCCAGAUUUAUAAGAAAGAUUGUACGUUCUCUACAAUAAAAAUAAACUGAGGAUAAGCUCGAAAAUAAAAUAAA